Molecule: transfer RNA, 84 nt
Filed under: Chthoniobacterales bacterium
Lineage: Bacteria; Pseudomonadati; Verrucomicrobiota; Spartobacteria; Chthoniobacterales
Description: tRNA-Leu
Rfam family: tRNA
About the family: Transfer RNA (tRNA) molecules are approximately 80 nucleotides in length.
Source: RNAcentral
GCUCGGGUGGUGAAAUGGCAGACACAUACGUUUGAGGGGCGUAUGCCGAAAGGCGUGGGGGUUCAAGUCCCCCCCCGAGCACCA